RNAcentral lists this ribosomal RNA (366 nucleotides) under uncultured Granulicatella sp. RNAcentral describes it as "bacterial SSU rRNA". It matches the Rfam family "Bacterial small subunit ribosomal RNA", at positions 161 to 511 of the family's 1533-position model. The record is from RNAcentral. Lineage: Bacteria; Bacillati; Bacillota; Bacilli; Lactobacillales; Carnobacteriaceae.
GCUAAAUACCGCAUAGGUUCUUUGACCGCAUGGUCGAAGAAGGAAAAGAGGCCUUAGUGCUUCUGGUGAUGGAUGGACCCGCGGCGUAUUAGCUAGUUGGUGAGGUAAAGGCUCACCAAGGCAUUGAUACGUAGCCGACCUGAGAGGGUAAUCGGCCACAUUGGGACUGAGACACGGCCCAAACUCCUACGGGAGGCAGCAGUAGGGAAUCUUCCGCAAUGGACGAAAGUCUGACGGAGCAACGCCGCGUGAGUGAAGAAGGUUUUCGGAUCGUAAAACUCUGUUGUUAGAGAAGAACAAGUGCUAGAGUAACUGCUAGCAUCGUGACGGUAUCUAACCAGAAAGCCACGGCUAACUACGUGCCAG